GAUGAACGCUGGCGGCGUGCCUAAUACAUGCAAGUCGAGCGAACAGACGAGGAGCUUGCUCCUCUGACGUUAGCGGCGGACGGGUGAGUAACACGUGGAUAACCUACCUAUAAGACUGGGAUAACUUCGGGAAACCGGAGCUAAUACCGGAUAAUAUAUUGAACCGCAUGGUUCAAUAGUGAAAGACGGUUUUGCUGUCACUUAUAGAUUGAUCCGCGCCGCAUUAGCUAGUUGGUAAGGUAACGGCUUACCAAGGCAACGAUGAGUAGCCGACCUGAGAGGGUGAUCGGCCACACUGGAACUGAGACACGGUCCAGACUCCUACGGGAGGCAGCAGUAGGGAAUUUUCCGCAAUGGGCGAAAGCCUGACGGAGCAACGCCGCGUGAGUGAUGAAGGUCUUCGGAUCGUAAAACUCUGUUAUUAGGGAAGAACAAAUGUGUAAGUAACUAUGCACGUCUUGACGGUACCUAAUCAGAAAGCCACGGCUAACUACGUG
This 497-nucleotide ribosomal RNA is filed under the name uncultured bacterium. RNAcentral's name for it is "partial 16S ribosomal RNA". It matches the Rfam family "Bacterial small subunit ribosomal RNA", at positions 28 to 507 of the family's 1533-position model. The record is from RNAcentral.